RNAcentral lists this ribosomal RNA (1026 nucleotides) under Colletotrichum gloeosporioides. Its description in RNAcentral is "partial 18S ribosomal RNA". It matches the Rfam family "Eukaryotic small subunit ribosomal RNA", at positions 51 to 1088 of the family's 1831-position model. Lineage: Eukaryota; Fungi; Ascomycota; Sordariomycetes; Glomerellales; Glomerellaceae. The record is from RNAcentral.
AUGCAUGUCUAAGUAUAAGCAAUUAUACAGCGAAACUGCGAAUGGCUCAUUAUAUAAGUUAUCGUUUAUUUGAUAGUACCUUACUACUUGGAUAACCGUGGUAAUUCUAGAGCUAAUACAUGCUAAAAAUCCCGACUUACGAAGGGAUGUAUUUAUUAGAUUAAAAACCAAUGCCCUUCGGGGCUCACUGGUGAUUCAUAAUAACUUCUCGAAUCGCAUGGCCUUGCGCCGGCGAUGGUUCAUUCAAAUUUCUUCCCUAUCAACUUUCGAUGCUAGAGUAGUGUUCUAGCAUGGUUACAACGGGUAACGGAGGGUUAGGGCUCGACCCCGGAGAAGGAGCCUGAGAAACGGCUACUACAUCCAAGGAAGGCAGNAGGCGCGCAAAUUACCCAAUCCCGACACGGGGAGGUAGUGACGAUAAAUACUGAUACAGGGCUCUUUUGGGUCUUGUAAUUGGAAUGAGUACAAUUUAAAUCCCUUAACGNNNNNNNNNNNNNNNNNNNNNNNNNNNNNNNNNNNNNNNNNNNNNNNNNNUCCAAUAGCGUAUAUUAAAGUUGUUGUGGUUAAAAAGCUCGUAGUAGAACCUUGGGCCUGGCUGGCCGGUCCGCCUCACCGCGUGCACUGGUCCGGCCGGGCCUUUCCCCCUGUGGAACCUCAUGCCCUUCACUGGGUGUGUGGGAAAACAGGACUUUUACUUUGAAAAAAUUAGAGUGCUCCAGGCAGGCCUAUGCUCGAAUACAUUAGCAUGGAAUAAUAGAAUAGGACGUGUGGUUCUAUUUUGUUGGUUUCUAGGACCGCCGUAAUGAUUAAUAGGGACAGUCGGGGGCAUCAGUAUUCAAUUGUCAGAGGUGAAAUUCUUGGAUUUAUUGAAGACUAACUACUGCGAAAGCAUUUGCCAAGGAUGUUUUCAUUUAUCAGGAACGAAAGUUAGGGGAUCGAAGACGAUCAGAUACCGUCGUAGUCUUAACCAUAAACUAUGCCGACUAGGGAUCGGACGAUGUUAUUUUUUGACAUCGUUCGGCACCU